Molecule: non-coding RNA, 38 nt
Filed under: Trypanosoma brucei brucei
Lineage: Eukaryota; Euglenozoa; Kinetoplastea; Trypanosomatida; Trypanosomatidae
Source: RNAcentral
AAAACAAAUUAGCAAUAGCAGCAACGCUAACUGUGAAU